UCAGCCAAAGAGACAAAGAUUCAAAAGUGCGU
This 32-nucleotide non-coding RNA is filed under the name Mus musculus (house mouse). Lineage: Eukaryota; Metazoa; Chordata; Mammalia; Rodentia; Muridae. The record is from RNAcentral.